Mauremys mutica (yellowpond turtle) is the source of this 691-nucleotide long non-coding RNA. RefSeq lists it as uncharacterized. Lineage: Eukaryota; Metazoa; Chordata; Testudines; Geoemydidae. The record is from RefSeq and is a predicted model, not a curated record. The transcript is spliced from 3 exons.
AGAGACAGAGAGUGUGAGUGAUGGUAGCAGGGGAUGUUCAGGGAUAGAGACAACUGGAGUGAGAGACUUCAGUAGAGGUCUGCUGAGGCAAGAUAUGGCUGCUGGCAGUGAGUGUACUCCAGAAACCCUGAGAAGUUACUACAGUGAAGAGAGUACUAUAGAAUCUGAGCACCUGAAUCUGAGCACCUUCUAAAAGUGCACAGAUAAGGAGGAAAACUAUUGGGCCAGAUUGCCACCUACUACAAGAUGUAUGAAAGAUCACGACCAUCCAGGUGGAGCUCCCUUAUCCCUAGCAGCAUGGCUCCACUAGCCUACAGCACCUAUUCCAGCUACAAUAUCCUUAGCAUAUGUAAUGUGGCAUGUCACUUCACCAUUUAUACAAUUGCCUCUCUGUAUAAAAGUGAAUGAAACUUAUGUUCAAAUUUGCUCUGGAAAACUGUACAUAUGGCAAAGCUCAAGUGAAAAUCUUACCAAGUGCCAAUAACACUAAGUCCUGGACUAUGGGAAAUAUAUAUCUAUUACCUGGCUUGCUUGUUUGUCUGCAUGCCAAGAAGCCUGAACGUACAUCCCAUAAUGUUUGGAUGCAUUGCAAACAAAUGUCAAAGCAAGCAUUAUACCCUCUGCUAAUGUACGUUUUCAGGUCAACAAUGUGAUGUUUGAAAAGAUUAAUCCCUUGCUGAGUAAUAUUCAU